Molecule: non-coding RNA, 331 nt
Organism: Equus caballus (horse)
Lineage: Eukaryota; Metazoa; Chordata; Mammalia; Perissodactyla; Equidae
Source: Rfam
GGAUGUGAGGGUGAUGCGGCUGUGACAUCUGUCACCCCUUUAAUCGCUGGGGUUAAUUUGGCUGAUGUGGUUGGCUAGGUGGGUGUCCCUUUCCUCUGUCACUGCUCCUUGUGCAUUCCUCCCAAAGCUAUGUGCUCAGUCAAAGAGGACGACCUUCCCUGAUAAAGGAGGACUGUUCUUCGGUCAAAGGUAUACAACUAGCUGUGCUCCCCUGCUAGAACCUCUAAACAAGUUCUCAAGGUCCAUUUGUAAGAGAACAUAGUGUAGUCAAGCUUCCAAGGCUCCAAAUGCAUUGAGAUGAGGUGCUGCAUGUGGCAGUCUGCCUUAAAAA